UUUAUUAAAAGAAAGAGGAAAAAUUAUUUUUUGUAAGUACAAAUAUAAAAUGCAUAUUAAAACAAUAUAAACAAUUUAUAUAUAAAAAUGUGUAAAUUGCAUAUGUUAUCGUAAAAAUUUGUGUAUAAAAAGUGUAUGAAAAUAAACAAAAGUACAUUAGAAUAUGUAUAUAUAAAAAAAUAAAAAGAUUAAAUAAAGAAAUUUUUUUUCAAAGAAAAAGAUUACGUAAUGUUUUUAGCGUAGGAAAUAUGAAUUAUUCGAUUAAAUAUCUAAAUCAAUUUUAGUAUAAAUAUUGGCGGCCUAAAAUUGCCUAACACGUGGUGAGGAUUGUGUAAAUAAAGAAUAUCCCACCCAACACCAAUUAAUAUCUGUACAAUGAUAAGUAUAAAAGAAAUAUAAAUACAAAAAAUUCAAACUUUUCUUUGAAUAUCAUUCCCGACGAGUAUUCCCGAGAACCUGUACAAACACUUGUAAUAAAAAUAUUAGUAACAAAUAAAUAAUUAUAAAAAGGCAUGUGCACAUAUAUGUAUUUACAAAAAUAUAUUUUUUAUUAAAAGCGGGCUCAGAUAAAGUUUUUCAAAAAAUUAUAAAAUUUUCAUCAUUUUCCUAAAAAUUAUUUAUUUUAUUACGUAUUUAUAUGUAAUAUCCGUCUUUUUAUUUGCAAAGGCCUCAAAAAUCGACGAAAAAUUUCUUCAUCGACUAAGUGUCGGCCCUUAAUAUAAAAUAAUAAAUUUGUGAAAAUAAAGUCCGUCUUUUAUAAUAGGGUGGCCUCAAAUAUCCAGACGGAGAGAUAAUUUCAUUGGCCAUAUUUAGUGUAGAAUCAUGUUUCUUGUCUGUUGAAUUAAAUAUAAAGGACAAAGUCGUCCUAAGCAGUCCUUCAAAAUAGUAGCAGCUCACCCAAGAAAAAUCAUAAAAUUGUGCUAAGUCACUCCACAAAUAAAGUAAUAACAAAAGAAAGGCAACGUGAAUAUAGUAGCUAGCAUCAUACAACAAUAAUAAAAUAGAAAAGCAAAAGGCAUAAAAAAAUUAGCAUCUAAAUAUAGCAAAUUGUCUAGAAUCCAUGGAGUUUGUGCGUUUUAGAAAGAGAGAAAAAAAUGAAAGAAAAUAUUUGGGAGUAAAAAUGUA
Molecule: long non-coding RNA, 1125 nt
Filed under: Capsicum annuum
Lineage: Eukaryota; Viridiplantae; Streptophyta; Magnoliopsida; Solanales; Solanaceae
Description: long non-coding RNA (CANN_LNC001348)
Source: RNAcentral